Salmo salar (Atlantic salmon) is the source of this 5033-nucleotide non-coding RNA. Lineage: Eukaryota; Metazoa; Chordata; Actinopteri; Salmoniformes; Salmonidae. The record is from RefSeq and is a predicted model, not a curated record.
GGGAGGGCCCACGAUAGAGUGUUUUUAUUUUCUUGCUUUGUUUCACGUCCAGAAAAUAACAGCAAUGGUGGAUAUUUGAAGAAAUGUCCAUAUCAGAUCGUUCGCGUGACAUUUUCGUAAUAAUUACCGGAUUGAUAUCAGAGCCAAAUCCACAGGAGGGAGGAUGAAGCGGCGCAAUGCGGAUUGCAGCAAGCUCCGACGGCCGUUAAAACGGAACCGAAUCACCGAGGGUAUAUAUAGCAGUACCUUCCUGUAUCUGAAGUUUCUGGUGGUUUGGGUGCUGGUGCUGCUGGCAGACUUUGUGUUGGAGUUCAGGUUUGAGUACCUGUGGCCCUUCUGGCUAUUCAUACGCAGUGUCUACGACUCCUUCAGAUACCAGGGGCUGGCGUUCUCAGUGUUCUUUGUGUGUGUGGCGUUUACGUCUGACAUCAUCUGCCUCCUCUUUAUCCCUGUCCAAUGGCUGUUCUUCGCUGCCAGCACCUACGUCUGGGUCCAGUACGUGUGGCACACAGAGAGAGGAGUAUGUCUACCCACCGUAUCGCUAUGGAUACUGUUUGUGUACAUGGAAGCUGCCAUCCGCUUCAAGGACCUGAAGAACUUCCAUGUGGACCUGUGUCGUCCCUUCGCUGCUCACUGUAUUGGCUACCCGGUGGUGACUUUGGGCUUUGGCUUUAAGAGCUACGUCAGCUACAAGAUGAGACUGAGGAAACAGAAAGAGGUGCAGAAGGAGAAUGAGUUCUACAUGCAGCUCCUACAGCAAGCUCUGCCCCCAGAGCAACAGAUGCUACAGAGACAGGAGAGAGAGGCAGAGGAGGCGGUCAUGGCUAAAGGUGUGUCAUCAGAUGUGGACCCUACCCCGCCGGUGUCCCAAAAUGGGUCAACUCCCGGCAAGAAGACCCCCGUUAACGCUUCUGUUCCGUUACCGGAACUGGAGUACCGGGAGAAAGGGAGAGACGGGAACAGCAAGGAACGGGAGGGCAAACAACAACAACAACAACAACAACACACAAUAGGAAUCAACAACAACAACAGUAUCCUCCACACACUGGACUCCACAUUACAGGAGACAGAGUAUAUGGAGAGCAUGGGUGGGAAGAGACUGAACAACGACCUCGGAGGAGGAGAGAUCACACACACGGGCAACACACACACUCCCAAAGAGGAGGUGGGGGGAACAGGGGGGAGGAGGGGGAGGAGGGAAGAACUACAAAAACGCCAGCGGAGGUGGUGUGGCCACCAACUCCUCCCCUCGGAAUCACAGCGCCACCAAUGGGACCGUGCCGUCGUCUGGCUCGUCCAAUAAGAACGAGAAAAAGACAAAGUCUGCGGGGAAAGGAGGAGCCAAUCAGAAGGAUCCCCUGGAGAACUGUAUUCCCAAUAAUCAACUGGGCAAGCCUGACGCUCUCGUGCGGUUGGAGCAGGAUGUGAAACGGCUGAAGGCAGACCUGCAGGCGAGCCGUCAGCUGGAGUCAGAUUUACGUUCUCACCUCUCCUCCCUGACCAGCCAGGACAGGAGUCUGCGCUCAGAGCUGGGCCAGCUGCGACAAGACAACGAGAUGCUGCAGAACAAUGCUGACCAGGCCAAGCAAAAGGACAAGCAGAUCGUCCCCCAGCUAGAGAAGAGGCUGAAGGCAGAGCAGGAGGCCCGGGCGCUGGCGGAGAAACAGCUGGCUGACGAGAGGAAGAGGAAGAAGGUGGAGGAAGCCACCGCAGCCAGGGCUGUAGCACUAGCUGCAGCCUCCAGGGGUGAGUGUACUGACUCCCUGCGUGGUCGGAUCAGAGAGUUGGAGACGGAGUGUAAGAAACUCAGCAUCGACAUGAAACUCAAAGAAGAACACAUUAGAGAGCUGGAGGGGAAAUGCCAGGAGCUGCGUAAGUACAAGGAGAAUGAGAAGGACAUGGAGGUGUUAAUGUCGGCGCUGUCGGCCAUGCAGGAUAAAACCCAGCACCUGGAGAACAGCCUGUCUGCUGAGACCAGGAUCAAACUAGACCUCUUCUCUGCCCUGGGGGACGCCAAGAGACAGCUGGAGAUCGCACAAGGUCAGAUCCACCAGAGAGACCAGGAGAUAGCAGAGUUGAAGCAGAAGAUAGCUGAAGUGAUGGCGGUGAUGCCCAGUAUCUCCUACAGCAACGACAGCAGCAGCCUCAGCCCUGUUACCCCACACUACUCCUCCAAGUUCAUGGACAAUAGUCCCUCCUCUCUUGAUCCCAAUGCAUCUGUCUACCAGCCACUCAAAAAGUGACAGUAGCACACACAUUAAUACACACUAACACACUUACUCACAAGGCAGCAUACAUAGUCCCAUACACACAUUUUCAUACAUACAAAGAGAAACACUUUCGAUCAUGUUUUUUUUUUUAGUUGUGUUUUGGGAAGCGAUAGGAAAUGUUCUCGGAGGUGUCUAGUACAAGCCUCUCGAAAUGGGACACUCACACCCAGACCCAGUCGGUCAUGGGUUUGUUCCCAUGGCGACGCUUUGUUUUUCUUUCUGUUUAUGGAACAGAUGGAGAGGUUGUUGUGUAAAACGACAAUAGGGAAGAUGUUGACGUUUUUUAGGGAUUGAGCCAUUCUGAUUUAACUGGUAAGAGAGACAUAAAGGGACAUCAUAUUAACGAGGACUUUGUCCAAAAUAACACCCUAUUCCCUAUAUUGACCCGGGCCCAGUGGGAGUUCUCUGAGGGGAGAUGGAGGCAGAUGAGGACUGGCUGGUUAGUUGAUAUGAAUGUUUAGAAAGACUCAUUGUAUUGCUCAGUCAGUCAGUGAUUCACGCUCGCUCGUUCUCUCUUCUCCCUCCGUUCUAGUUCAGGUUUUUGACUUUGUGUAUUGCCAAACUUCUCUUGGGUUUUAAAUGAGAUAACUGAAACAUUUGAAUUGCUAAAAUGGUACCUUCUGUGAGUUUGAUUAUGAAUGUAAAGUACUUUGUUCAUGUUUUUGGUAUUAUCGCCCUAAAUUGUGAUUUUGUUUUUUGUUUUUUAAAGCGACACAUUUCAGUUUAGUUAUGAUGACAAUGGUAAUAUCAUCAUAACUAAAUGUACAGAUUGUCAAUUUGUACAUUACUCCAUUUUGAAAAGUGGAACUGACUCCAAACAGCAUCCGGGAUUAUCAAUUAACUCAAACACUCCUGAUUUGUGACGUUAACUCAAACACUCCGGUCAAGAAAUACAUAAAUCUCUCAAAAUAGGAUUGUCAAUAAAUAUGACCUGGUACUGUCUAGAGGUUAAUCAUCUGUUUGCUGUUUAACGUGCUUAAACCUGUCUCUCCUUUUGGACCAAAUUACAAUCUGUUGUUAGGCCGUAUAACUAAAAACCUACUGGAUUUAGUGAUGUCUAGGUAACUGGUAUUUUACCUGUUGUCAAUUUCACUGUGCCUUGCAAUUCCUUUUUUUAAAGUAGUUAGUAUAAUGGGUUACUUUGUCAAUCCCUCCAGGCUGUCUCUCAAUAACGUGAGCUUUCUGGCAAGUGGAAGCAACAUAUGGUGAAAGCUUGUCCGGGCCUCUCACCUAUCAUGAAGGAAGGAAGCCAGUGUAGUGGAUUGAGACACCCCCCCCCCCCCUAUCUCUCACCAUCUCCCAUGCAGGCCCCAGUCUCCCUUUUCUAUUAGGCCCCGUUCUCUGAUACAACUCUGACCCCAAGUAAACAAUGGAUUUGGUUCAUCCCAUUUUGUAUAGGGAGUAGGAACGACCCUGUCCACCAAACAGCUAUUAACUAUGUCUGGGGCAUAAAGUUUUACCUGGCCAGGCCAAGUGGUCAGUAGAACAAACACCAGGCCUUUAUGUCCAAUACUACGGUAGCCCAGAGUGGACAUCUAUCUGUUUACAACCAGGGUUGGGGUCAAUUACAUUUCAAUUUCAGUCAAUUCAGGAAGUACACUGACAUUCCAAUUUACCUUCUUUUUAAUAAGGGGGAAAAUGUGGAAUUGGAAUUUGGUUAACUCUCUGAAUUGAAAUGGAAUUGACCCCCGAACCCUGUUUACAACCAUGUACAUUAUUACAUAGCGAUUUUUAAAUGUUCUAGUAUUUCAGUUCAAAGUGCCACGUUUUGGUGUUUUCUUAAUACAGCUCCCUCUCCAUUCGUUUAGAUUGAUGUAUCUCAAGCUUGCUUUAGGUUUGGAUCAAAGCAUCAGAACAUGGCUACACAUUUGUUGUGUUCAUGUAGUUUUUAUGUUGUUUUUUGACAUUCAUUGAAAGCAAGUAGAGUAAUUGGUUAUAUUUGACUCACUGCACUAUUAUUGUAUUUAUUUGUUUGUUGCAGCCAUUUUUUUUUUCUUCUUCCUCUUAAGUAUUAUGUUUUGGAUUUCUCUCAAUCUCUUUCUAGAAUGAUUGCAGAUCUGUUUCUGCUCAUGCCAACUCCUUAUGGAAUUGGCAAAAAAAAAAAAAAACGUUUUGACAACUACAUUCAGUUGGCAAAGAGCAUUAACAGAUCUGGGACCAAGCUAAUCUCUUUCCGACAGGGAUGAUCGUGUGUCGUUUUGUAUUUGGGAAGUUACACCCUGCCCACUGGGCACACACACCAGGUUGAAUUAACGUUGUUUCCGCAUCAUUUCAAUGAAAUUACAUUGAACCAACUGGAAUACACAUUGAUUUAACUGUGAUCAGUUUGCCGUGUUUUCUGCUGUAGGGUGAAGUUGCCCCAUAGACGCUGAUCUUGGGUCAAUUUGACAAUUUUUUCCCCCCACUAUUGUUAAAAUUCGGAUUAGGGGAGAGGAAGCUGACCCUGGGUCCUAGAGGGAACUCCAUCCCGUAGCCAUGUUUUCUCAUGUUUCCUACCUGGAAAGUAUUGGUGUGGAUCAUAAUAACGGACUUGUGACCUGUUUUUUAAAUAUGUUCUACAUGUUUUUAGUGGGAAAGAAAAUAAGUGUUUCGUUUCUCUGUUUUCGUUGUUCCACCAUGUUGUUUUCUCUCAACAUGUGAUGAUGAUGAUGAUGAUGAUAUCGGCUGCAUCCAAACUCCUCUCACUUUGGGGACAUCACCUGGAAUUAAAAAAAAACUAUCUUGCAGGCGAUGAUGAUAAUGAUGCAAGCUGUUUGAGAACAA